Orbicella faveolata is the source of this 1174-nucleotide long non-coding RNA. RefSeq lists it as uncharacterized. NCBI's taxonomy places the organism in Eukaryota, Metazoa, Cnidaria, Anthozoa, Scleractinia, Merulinidae. The record is from RefSeq and is a predicted model, not a curated record.
UCCAGCCCUAGGAAAUAAUCACGUUAUUUGUUUUGAAACCAUGGAAAUCAGAAAAUGUUUACAGGAAAUGCGGUAUGACCGUCUAAAUUCUUCGACUGUUGCCUGACCUAAAUAUGGUGCUUUAACGUAUAAAACAAAUAGCCCGAAUGUACGUAAAACCGAAAUUUACAUUGUACGUUGCCAAAAAAAACUUAACAUAACUGAGCCAAAAAGCAUAUAAAGGGAAACUUGGAAGUUUCGUUUCCAGCAGAAUUUAGUCCACCAACCGAAGAUCAGAGUAGUACUUUUAUUUCUCAGUUCAUAGUGGGCAAGGAGAGGGCAAAAAUGAAGAACCCAACAAAAGCUGCUGUUAUCACGGUCUUAGUGUUCCUUCUCUUGGUAUCCAGCAUUUUUCCCGUCCACUGCCGACCUCAAGGAGAUGCUUGUUCGGAUUGUUGUCUCUCUAAUUGGGCGGAAUGCAUGUCGCAGUGUGAACCGAUGAGCGCUUGUUAUGACUGCAGUCUGGAGUAUUCUACAUGUACAGCAGAAUGUCCUGACUCCUGCUUUAUAUAAACCAUCCACAAGAACAUCAAGUCAACCAUUUUUGAAUCAUUAUGAAAUGUCUCUGGACUUGAAUGUUAAGUUACAAUUGUUAUUUUAUCGCCGAAAAUCUUGCGUAUGAGACGUUGGAAGAUGGGCGCAAGAAACAUGUAUAUAAUUUAGUCCUCAGAUGCAUUGGUGGCAAAGAGUAUCAGGGUUUUUUAAAAACUCUUUUAUCUUUAAUCGAGAUGUCUCGCUCCGACAGACAAGGCAGGCCGGUAAACUGUGCCAAGAGGACUGAAGCAGCGAAAGAGUCUUUUUAUUAUUCUGGAUGUCAAAUUUAUAACUGUUUUAAAAGUAUGUAAAUUUAAUUUGCCAUUUACGUAUAUGGAAUUUUAGCUUUAAUCUAAGUAGUUUUAUAUUUCAAACCUUUUAAAUUAUAAAUUUUUAUCGAUUUUGUUUUCGCAUAUUGUAAGACGUAGUUUUGUAUUUUUAACCUUUUAAACUAUUUUUAUCGAAUUUUUUAGCAUGUUGUAAGAUUAAUAAAUUUCUAAUUUUUAAUUCUAUUAGGGCCUCUACAUGUAUGUGAAUUGGUAGCAGCUUUAUUUAUAGGGCUGACAGAGUUACCCUGAAAAAAUAAAGGUUCACUUAUUUA